CCUACGGGGGGCAGCAGUGGGGAAUAUUGGACAAUGGGGGGAACCCUGAUCCAGCGACGCCGCGUGAGUGAAGAAGUAUUUCGGUAUGUAAAGCUCUAUCAGCAGGGAAGAAAAUGACGGUACCUGACUAAGAAGCCCCGGCUAACUACGUGCCAGCAGCCGCGGUAAUACGUAGGGGGCAAGCGUUAUCCGGAUUUACUGGGUGUAAAGGGAGCGUAGACGGUGAAACAAGUCUGAUGUGAAAGGUCGGGGCCCAACCCCGGGACUGCAUUGGAAACUGUUGAACUGGAGUGCAGGAGAGGUAAGCGGAAUUCCUAGUGUAGCGGUGAAAUGCGGAGAUAUUAGGAGGAACACCAGUGGCGAAGGCGGCUUACUGGACUGUAACUGACGUUGAGGCUCGAAAGCGUGGGGAGCAAACAGGAUUAGAUACCCUUGUAGUC
This 440-nucleotide ribosomal RNA is filed under the name uncultured bacterium. RNAcentral describes it as "partial 16S ribosomal RNA". It matches the Rfam family "Bacterial small subunit ribosomal RNA", at positions 338 to 795 of the family's 1533-position model. The record is from RNAcentral.